CCUACGGGUGGCAGCAGUGGGGAAUAUUGCACAAUGGGGGAAACCCUGAUGCAGCAACGCCGCGUGAGUGAAGCAGUAUUUCGGUAUGUAAAGCUCUAUCAGCAGGGAAGAAAAUGCCGGUACCUGAGUAAGAAGCCCCGGCUAACUACGUGCCAGCAGCCGCGGUAAUACGUAGGGGGCAAGCGUUAUCCGGAUUUACUGGGUGUAAAGGGAGCGUAGACGGUAUGACAAGUCUGAAGUGAAAGGCCGGGGCUCAACCCCGGGACUGCUGUGGAAACUGGGUGGCUGGAGUGCGGGAGAGGCAAGCGGAAUUCGUAGUGUAGCGGUGAAAUGCGUAGAUAUUAGGAAGAACACCAGUGGCGAAGGCAGCUUACUGGACUGUAACUGACGUUGAGGCUCGAAAGCGUGGGGAGCAAACAGGAUUAGAUACCCUUGUAGUC
This 440-nucleotide ribosomal RNA is filed under the name uncultured bacterium. RNAcentral describes it as "partial 16S ribosomal RNA". It matches the Rfam family "Bacterial small subunit ribosomal RNA", at positions 338 to 795 of the family's 1533-position model. The record is from RNAcentral.